AUGUUCUGUUUUAACUUUGUCUGCCCGUUCCAGUUCAGCCCUGAUCUACUGAGUCCUGAAGGUUCCUGCUCGUCUGUUCACAGGAAUCACCCACCGCCAUCUGGAGUUGUUAAUCCAACAUCACGUUGCUCACCGUCCCCCUGGUCUCCUCUCUCUCCGCCGCCCGCCUGUCGUCCUGUCCGCUUCCCAGCCUGCCUAACCACCAGCCUCCGGACCUGCAUCAUAACCUGCCUCACUGUGCCUCGCAACCUGUUUCCUCAUCCCGUCCUGGGUCCUCAUUCUCAGCUGCUUGUCUGUCCCCACCUGGCCCCCAAAGACACAGCCCUGCCUCACCAAGACCGAUCAUCACCAAUCUUGGUCCCCCCUGUUCCCGUCUGGAGCAGCGCUUUUAGUUAUGCACCAUUCUUAAUAAAUAUUAUUUGUUAUUUACUUACCCUCAUUUCCAUCUGUGAUUCUUUCAUGUCCUGGGUAAAACAUAUUCCCAACAUGACAGAAUCAACCAGCCAAACAUCCACCCCUUUGGAAGAAUCAUUUCCGCCAGCAGUUGUACCCUCAAGCCGCCUAUACAACCUGUCCAAACCAGAACAAUACAGUAUGGCUAAAUACAUUUCUGAGUCCCUGUCUGCCGGUAUUACAAGGCCUUCCACGUCCCUCCUGGGUGCGGGAUUCUUUUUUGUGUCAAAGAAGGAUGGAUCCCUGCGUCCCUGCAUCGACUAUCGUGGACUGAACCAGAUCACUAUCAAAAGCAAGUACCCUCUACCUCUGCUUACAAUGCCUCUGUCUUUACCAAGUUGGACCUGCACAACACUUACCACCUCAUGAGAAUCCGGGAGGGGGACGAAUGGAAAACGGCUUUCAAGACCAAUCUUGGACAUUACGAAUACCUGUUUAUGUAGUUUGGACUCACUAAUUCCACCGCAGUCUUCCAGUCCCUGGUGAACUCUGUCCUGGGUGACCACAUAAAAAAAUUUGUCACGGUUUAUUUGGACUAUAUUUUGAUUUUUUCCAGGUCCCUCACACAACACUGCCAACAUGUCCGAGCUGUGCUUCAAUGAUGCCUCGAGAACCACCUGUAUGUCAAAGCUGAAAAAUGUGAGUUUCACGUCUUGUCCGUCAAGUUCUUGGGUUUUGUCCUGGAGAGUGGUCAGCUGAAGACAGACCCUGAUAAGAUCGAGGCAGUUUGGACAUGGCCAACCCCUGAAACAUGUAAGCAACUACAAAGGUUUUUGGGUUUUGCAAAUUUCUAUCGACGUUUUAUCAGGAACUACAGUCAGAUAGCGACACCCCUCACUCGACUCGCCUCAGUCAAGGUUCCGUUUCUGUGGUCCCCGGAGGCCGACCAAGCCUUCAACAUCCUCAAGACCAGUUUCACCCAGGCACCCAUUCUCACAUGCCCAGACACCUCUCUGCAGUUCACUCGAGAGGUUGAUGCAUCUGAUACUGGAGUGGGUGCUGUACUCUCCCAAGUCUCUCCCACAGAUCAGCAUCUCCAUCCCUGCGCCUUUUUCUCCCGUUGUCUUUCGUCUGCAGAGCAGAAUUACAACGUGGGAGACCGGGAACUUCUGGCCGUUAAGCUGGCUUUGGAGGAGUGGCGUCACUGGCUGGAGGGUGCAGAACAUCCAAUAGUAAUCUGGACACAUCACAAGAAUCUUGCAUAUUUAAAGGAGGCUAAAAGACUAAAUCCUCGUCAGUCCCGCUGGUCGUUGUUUUUCUCCCGAUUCACCUUUGUUAUCUCUUUCAGACCUGGCUCCAAGAAUGUCAAACCCGAUGCCUUUUCCCGACAGCACGCUUCUGACAAAGACACCGAACCCACUACCAUCCUACCAGCCUCCUGCAUUGUCAGCUCCAUAGCUUGGGACAUCACCAAUAAGGUACUGGAAGCCCAACGUUUGGAACCAGACCCAGGUACCGGUCUCCCACAUAAAACAAAUGUUCCUUCCAGCACUCGCAGCUCCCUAAUCCACUGGGCACACACUGCUAGAUUUUCCAUUCACCCCGGCCUUGGCAGAACCUUAGCUCUCAUUUGUAGAACCUUUUGGUGGCCUUCAAUGUGUAAAGAU
This is a long non-coding RNA of Nothobranchius furzeri (turquoise killifish), 2060 nucleotides long. Lineage: Eukaryota; Metazoa; Chordata; Actinopteri; Cyprinodontiformes; Nothobranchiidae. The record is from Ensembl.